UACGAAGGGGGCUAGCGUUGCUCGGAAUCACUGGGCGUAAAGGGUGCGUAGGCGGGUUUUUAAGUCAGGGGUGAAAUCCUGGAGCUCAACUCAGAACUGCCUUUGAUACUGAAGAUCUUGAGUCCGGGAGAGGUGAGUGGAACUGCGAGUGUAGAGGUGAAAUUCGUAGAUAUUCGCAAGAACACCAGUGGCGAAGGCGGCUCACUGGCCCGGUACUGACGCUGAGGCACGAAAGCGUGGGGAGCAAACAGG
RNAcentral lists this ribosomal RNA (252 nucleotides) under uncultured bacterium. Its description in RNAcentral is "partial 16S ribosomal RNA". It matches the Rfam family "Bacterial small subunit ribosomal RNA", at positions 524 to 776 of the family's 1533-position model. The record is from RNAcentral.